This is a non-coding RNA of Solanum lycopersicum (tomato), 2443 nucleotides long. Lineage: Eukaryota; Viridiplantae; Streptophyta; Magnoliopsida; Solanales; Solanaceae. The record is from RefSeq and is a predicted model, not a curated record.
UUUCAAUCAUAGUCUAGGGGUAUACUUUUGUAUAUGGCAGAAUACAGAUAGAGUAUCGAGAAGAAUAUCUAUACCAAAGCCUAUUUCUCUUAGGAGUGACUUCAAGAAGAUCAUCUAAUAAGACUUUUGGUAACUCACACAACUGGAACUGACUGAAAAUGUUGUGUCUCAACACUAGAAUCAUUAACUCGAACUAAGUGAUAGAUGCAUCACUUGAAAACUAACUUUCUCGUCUUAAGGUACGAAAUAAAAUAACUCUUAGGCACUGCUGAAUCUUUCUUAAAGUAUGAAAUAAAACUAACUUUCUCGCCUUAAUGUUUGCAAAAGACUUCUCAAAGGAUUCAAACAAACUCUCAAGACUUGACUCUUAACUUUACCUUGAAUUUAAAUUAUAAAUUCAAGAUGAUGAUUCAUGUUAUGAAUGAAUUUUAGAUGUUUAGAAGCAAUGUGGAGUAGUUGGAAUCAAAGAGUAACAGGUACCCUUUGAAAGAAUGUAGACGGGCUAAGCGAUAGAGAAUGGGUUGGGAGGGGCGACCCUGGUGCCAAAGGCUCCAGCCCUGUACUAUAGAUCAUCUUUCCAGACCCAAUGGAAAGACACCACUCUCGCCCUUGCCCAGAUUAUCCCGAUGAAUUUUUUCUCACUUUUUUUAUCCUAACUCGCCUAUAAUCACACUUAGAUUUGAAUACCCAACAUAUGUACACGAUAAUUUACUCAAAACAAACUUCAAAUUACUGAUACUCAUCUCAAGAAUUCAUCAAAACCCCAACAAUCAAGAUUACGAAUGGAAUUUCAAGAAAACUCAUCAAGAACUCAAAUCCUUCAACCUCAAGAGUGAAGGCAUGAUUGACAUGUGAGUUAACGAAUCCAACACUGUAAGAACUCACAUACCUCUCGGGGAUCAAACCCUUGGAGAAACAACCCUCGAUCCGCAAAAAAUCUUGAUGAAAGCCCUGAACCUUUCCUUUUUUUUCCUCCUCUUUUCUCUUCUUGAACUUUCUUCUAAAAUCAUAAGCGUAUUUUGGGAUGAUAAAAACUGACCCAAAUCAAAUUUUACCCCAAAAAUAUUACUAAUUUUGUUUUAAUCUAAUUAGGUAAGGAAAGUACUAAAAUAUCCCUCAUAAUUUUAGGUGAUUUCCUUUUGAUUAACUUCAAAUGGGCAUAUCUUCCUCAUACGAACUCAAAAUGUUGCAAACUUGGUGAAAUUGAAAAGAGGAUUCCAAGACCUUUCAUGAUAUCUUAUGGUCCACCUAGAUCAUCCUAUACUAAAAUUUAUGGUCGAUUGAAAUUGACUCAAAACUUACAACUUAAGCAUAACUUACAAUAUUUUAUUGAUAUUUCCAAUUUAGUUCUUUCUAAUUUUAACUCUUUCAAAUACCAAGGUAUUACAAAAAUAAACACAUAUGAAUAGAAAAUUACUUCUAAGGCUCCAAUCUUUAAUACUUUAUUAGAUCAUUCAAUGGACUGCUUUAUUAAUAGCUUAUGAUCUACUUAUAAUAUAUUAAUAUGUGAGUGCACAAAAUAAAAAUUACUAACAUUGCCAUCUUAAAUAGUCGAUAAUUAUUGUGUUGAGCUAUUUUUAAUAGUACUCUUAAUUUUGUUUGCAUUGUCAAUUAAUUUCUUAAACUUGAUCUCAUCAACAUAUCAGAACUAUGGAUUGGACACUCAUCGCCAAAAUAACAUAAUAUAUAGGUCAAAUAUUACUUUUAAUCAAAUUUGGGCUCGAAACUCGUUUAUUCAAUCAUAAAUAUAAAAAUUAUAUGUCGGUCUGGCCCAACUUGAAAAAUGAAAGUUGGCCCAUAUGAAUCAAUAUCCUUUCUAUUUCUUACCCUAUUUUUAACAUUUCCCCUAACAUUUGUUUCCAAAUCAUCCUCUUUCAUAUUCUUUUCUGCGCCGCCUUCCUGAUUCUCCGUAGUCUCAUUUAGAUCAUCAACAUUCAGAUGGUGGUAUACCACUACACAUCUUCAAUAGCUUCAAUAGGCACUGCUCCUCCUUAUCUUCCUCCUCCUUUUCGUUUUUAAUCUCUUUUUUAUCUUGGUUUAGGUCAUUCUGAUUUCUGGACCUAACACCGCUGCUAGAUAUGAAGCGAUCUUCCUCUCUAAGACAAUGGAAGAUGUACUUUGGAUGUAUAGUCCUUGACUUUGGUUGAUUCCCUCUUUUGUAAGCUCAUAAAUGACAACAGGCUUGACAAUGGCAAACAUACGAAAGCUAAUGGGAGAUACGUCUUAAAGAACAUUUGAAAUUGAUGUGACAAUAAAUUGGAGAAAUUAUAUUGGAGACUCAUAUUCUUGGUAUUAUCUUAGUAUUUGUGUGAUGUUAAAUAUUUAAUAAUUCAGAAUCAUACUCCAUUUACAUAUAUUAAUUUGCAUGUAUUUGGUGUAUUCCUUAUGAGGACAUGGUAUAAAAUAAUUGAAUACAAUUUGAUAAGACAUUAUUCACAUUUUA